AAAAAUGCGAUGACAGGAAACGCAGUAGCAAUGAUCUCCCUGUUUUAGAGAGCUGGUGGUUGGUGCGAAUCAGCACAAAGAUCAUGUGAAUUACAUUUCCGAGAGCUUUCUUUGUUAUGUUUUAUUGAAACAAACGACGAAGAACGGGAAACCGUUAUUUACAUUUGAGUGGAAGAAUGAUUUCUUCAAUUAGGGUGGUACCGCGUGUAAAAGUUAGACCACGUCCCUUUA
Molecule: non-coding RNA, 231 nt
Filed under: Fictibacillus phosphorivorans
Lineage: Bacteria; Bacillati; Bacillota; Bacilli; Caryophanales; Fictibacillaceae
Description: T-box sequence
Rfam family: T-box leader
About the family: Uncharged tRNA acts as the effector for transcription antitermination of genes in the T-box leader family. T-boxes are found upstream of many aminoacyl-tRNA synthetase genes and some amino acid biosynthetic genes usually in Gram-positive bacteria.
Source: RNAcentral